ACUGGUUUUGUAUUUUCAUAAUAAAAAACAAAAAAAAAAUCUGUUCUUAUCAGUUUAAUAUCUGAUACGUCCCCCAUCGGGGGACCACAUAUUAAACGGAUUUUUGGAACAGGGAGCUGGAUCAGGAGCUUNN
This is a small nuclear RNA of Lepisosteus oculatus (spotted gar), 133 nucleotides long. Its record names the gene U2. It matches the Rfam family "U2 spliceosomal RNA". Rfam says of the family: U2 is a small nuclear RNA (snRNA) component of the spliceosome (involved in pre-mRNA splicing). Complementary binding between U2 snRNA (in an area lying towards the 5' end but 3' to hairpin I) and the branchpoint sequence (BPS) of the intron results the bulging out of an unpaired adenosine, on the BPS, which initiates a nucleophilic attack at the intronic 5' splice site, thus starting the first of two transesterification reactions that mediate splicing. The record is from Ensembl. Lineage: Eukaryota; Metazoa; Chordata; Actinopteri; Semionotiformes; Lepisosteidae.